UCACCGUCAUGAGAUUAGAAAUACCUUUCGUGCAGUUCAGCAGCAACUAUGCAAUAUGACAGUUAAGUCAGCAGAGAGAUAUUCCAGGCAAUAGUCCAGAACUCGGCUACCAUCAACACUGGAGAGAUGGCAGACUUCCUGUCCCUUCUCAUACCCUGUUUGAAUGACUUUGGUGGUGUUUCUUCAUCGGCCAAGUUUCUACAUUAAGGCUGAAUACGUGGCUGGCACAGGAGCUGCCUUCUGGACAAGGACAUUUUCAGUGGAAGAUAAUGCACAGAAGGUGUACAAUACCACUGGUUGUCAAAGAAGCGAAGCCAGGGUCCCUUCUAGUGGGUGGUAG
RNAcentral lists this long non-coding RNA (340 nucleotides) under Sus scrofa (pig). Its description in RNAcentral is "lncRNA (ENSSSCG00025074179.1)". Lineage: Eukaryota; Metazoa; Chordata; Mammalia; Artiodactyla; Suidae. The record is from RNAcentral.